GAUGAACGCUGACAGAAUGCUUAACACAUGCAAGUCUACUUGAACUUCGGUUUGGGUGGCGGCCGGGUGAGUCACGCGUAAAGAACUUGCCUCACAGUUAGGGACAACAUUUGGAAACGAAUGCUAAUACCUGAUAUUAUGAUUUUAGGGCAUCCUAGGAUUAUGAAAGCUAUAUGUGCUGUGAGAGAGCUUUGCGUCCCAUUAGCUAGUUGGAGAGGUAACGGCUCACCAAGGCGAUGAUGGGUAGCCGGCCUGAGAGGGUGAACGGCCACAAGGGGACUGAGAGACGGCCCUUACGCCUACGGGAGGCAGCAGUGGGGAAUAUUGGACAAUGGACCAAAAGUCUGAUCCAGCAAUUCUGUGUGCAAGAUGACGUUUUUCGGAAUGUAAAGUGCUUUCAGUUGGGAAGAAAAAAAUGACGGUACCAACAGAAGAAGUGACGGCUAAAUACGUG
RNAcentral lists this ribosomal RNA (454 nucleotides) under uncultured bacterium. Its description in RNAcentral is "partial 16S ribosomal RNA". It matches the Rfam family "Bacterial small subunit ribosomal RNA", at positions 28 to 507 of the family's 1533-position model. The record is from RNAcentral.